AACGAACGCUGGCGGCACGCCUAACACAUGCAAGUCGAACGAGACCUUCGGGUCUAGUGGCGCACGGGUGCGUAACGCGUGGGAACCUGCCCUUAGGUUCGGAAUAACUCCCCGAAAGGGGUGCUAAUACCGGAUAAUGUCUUCGGACCAAAGGUUUAUCGCCUUUGGAUGGGCCCGCGUUGGAUUAGCUAGUUGGUAGGGUAAAAGCCUACCAAGGCGACGAUCCAUAGCUGGUCUGAGAGGAUGAUCAGCCACACUGGGACUGAGACACGGCCCAGACUCCUACGGGAGGCAGCAGUGGGGAAUAUUGGACAAUGGGCGAAAGCCUGAUCCAGCAAUGCCGCGUGAGUGAUGAAGGCCUUAGGGUUGUAAAGCUCUUUUACCCGGGAUGAUAAUGACAGUACCGGGAGAAUAAGCUCCGGCUAACUCCGUG
RNAcentral lists this ribosomal RNA (433 nucleotides) under uncultured bacterium. Its description in RNAcentral is "partial 16S ribosomal RNA". It matches the Rfam family "Bacterial small subunit ribosomal RNA", at positions 29 to 507 of the family's 1533-position model. The record is from RNAcentral.